This 194-nucleotide small nuclear RNA is filed under the name Penicillium vulpinum. RNAcentral describes it as "U2 spliceosomal RNA". It matches the Rfam family "U2 spliceosomal RNA". Rfam says of the family: U2 is a small nuclear RNA (snRNA) component of the spliceosome (involved in pre-mRNA splicing). The record is from Rfam by way of RNAcentral. Lineage: Eukaryota; Fungi; Ascomycota; Eurotiomycetes; Eurotiales; Aspergillaceae.
CCAGCUCUCUUUGCCUUCUGGCUUAGAUCAAGUGUAGUAUCUGUUCUUGUUCAGUUUAAUCGCUGAUAGCCCUGCACCGCAGGACUUUACUGAUUAUUCAACCUUUGGACCUCGCGACUUGGCCUCUGUGCUUGCAUAUGCCUCGUUGCACUGUGUCGCUGGGCUCACACUACCCCCGGCUGAUGCGACCACCU